RNAcentral lists this ribosomal RNA (331 nucleotides) under uncultured bacterium. RNAcentral's name for it is "bacterial SSU rRNA". It matches the Rfam family "Bacterial small subunit ribosomal RNA", at positions 8 to 334 of the family's 1533-position model. The record is from RNAcentral.
AGGGUUUGAUUAUGGCUCAGGACGAACGCUGGCGGCGUGCUUAACACAUGCAAGUCGAACGAUGAAGCCUAGCUUGCUAGGUGGAUUAGUGGCGAACGGGUGAGUAAUACGUGAGUAACCUACCUUUAACUCUGGGAUAAGCCUGGGAAACUGGGUCUAAUACCGGAUACGACCAAUCUCCGCAUGGGGUGUUGGUGGAAAGCGUUAUGUAGUGGUUAUAGAUGGGCUCACGGCCUAUCAGCUUGUUGGUGAGGUAACGGCUCACCAAGGCGACGACGGGUAGCCGGCCUGAGAGGGUGACCGGCCACACUGGGACUGAGACACGGCCCAG